RNAcentral lists this long non-coding RNA (335 nucleotides) under Salvia miltiorrhiza (redroot sage). Its description in RNAcentral is "long non-coding RNA (SMIL_LNC002242)". Lineage: Eukaryota; Viridiplantae; Streptophyta; Magnoliopsida; Lamiales; Lamiaceae. The record is from RNAcentral.
UGUCAUUUAUUAAUGCAGAUAUUGUUAGUAUAAUAAUAAAUUUUUUAAAGUUGAGAAAGUGUGGAUAAGAUCUGUAACAACAAAAAGACAAAAGAGCUGAUUAAUUCCAAAUAUUUCAUGCCACUGUUUGAUGGGCAUAGACAGACACAAUGUUGGUCCACUGUUGAUGAUGGCCUAAAUAAAGACUGAGCAAUGGCACUUGAGAGAGAGAGUGAGAGCUGAUUGUUUUUGUUUUUGUUUGAAAUGCCCAAAAGCCGAUAAGGAAGCUGAUAUCAACGAAGAGAAACUUAGGAAUAUCAGUAAGCAUGGGAAAUGUGAAGACCGCCAACAGCACA